UACGUAGGGUGCAAGCGUUGUCCGGAUUUAUUGGGCGUAAAGAGCGUGUAGGCGGCCUUACAGGUCAGCUGUGAAAACUCGAGGCUCAACCUCGAGACGUCGGUUGAAACCGUAUGGCUAGAGUCCGGAAGAGGAGAGUGGAAUUCCCGGUGUAGCGGUGAAAUGCGCAGAUAUCGGGAGGAACACCGGUGGCGAAGGCGGUUCUCUGGGACGGUACUGACGCUGAGACGCGAAAGCGUGGGGAGCGAACAGG
Molecule: ribosomal RNA, 253 nt
Filed under: uncultured bacterium
Lineage: Bacteria
Description: partial 16S ribosomal RNA
Rfam family: Bacterial small subunit ribosomal RNA
Source: RNAcentral